RNAcentral lists this ribosomal RNA (254 nucleotides) under uncultured bacterium. RNAcentral's name for it is "partial 16S ribosomal RNA". It matches the Rfam family "Bacterial small subunit ribosomal RNA", at positions 15 to 252 of the family's 1533-position model. The record is from RNAcentral.
GAUCCUGGCUCAGGAUGAACGCUGGCGGCGUGCUUAACACAUGCAAGUCGAACGGGAAUUACUUUAUUGAAACUUCGGUCGAUAUGAUUUAAUUCUAGUGGCGGACGGGUGAGUAACGCGUGGGUAACCUGCCUUAUACAGGGGGAUAACAGUCAGAAAUGACUGCUAAUACCGCAUAAGCGCACAGGACCGCAUGGUCCGGUGUGAAAAACUCCGGUGGUAUAAGAUGGACCCGCGUUGGAUUAGCUGGUUGG